GUCUUACCGAUUUUAUUCCUGUUAGACUUUUUUCAUUCUCUUCACUCUCAUCACAUUCGUUCUCCCUUCCUCUCUGUUCGUCAGCCUCCGCCUCUCCUCUUUAUCUCUGUUCGUUGGCUUUACCUUCUCAUCUCUAUCUCGUUAUCUUUGUCGGUUGACCAUCGUCCUUUCCAAGUCUGUAUUUUUAAGAAACCCUAAAAAUUUGGCUUUCCAAUCCUAUCAAGGUUACUAGUGUUGAAGAAAUGUUUUCUCAAAAAGCAUACAUUUUGCUCUAUGUUAGACAGAGCAUAGUUUUCAAUUGUAAUAGAACUGUUGUCUUGUAAAUAAACUUUCUGAUAUGGAGAAUAUUUUGUCAUGUGCUAUUGAAGUAGUUAUUGCUAAGUUCAAAGAUCCAAUGUUUUAUGUUUGGUUAAA
Long non-coding RNA from Gossypium arboreum, 414 nucleotides. RefSeq lists it as uncharacterized. The transcript is spliced from 2 exons. NCBI's taxonomy places the organism in Eukaryota, Viridiplantae, Streptophyta, Magnoliopsida, Malvales, Malvaceae. The record is from RefSeq and is a predicted model, not a curated record.